Long non-coding RNA from Anguilla anguilla (European eel), 814 nucleotides. RefSeq lists it as uncharacterized. The record is from RefSeq and is a predicted model, not a curated record. Lineage: Eukaryota; Metazoa; Chordata; Actinopteri; Anguilliformes; Anguillidae. The transcript is spliced from 2 exons.
AUGGCAGGCCUAGAUUUUGCCAGUUUGAAUGAAUGACUUAUGCACAGUGCUUUGUAAGUGUGAGUAAACUUGACAUUUUUGUAAGUUGAAAAUGUGUUUCCCAUGAGAUAUACAACCUAUAUAAUCGAUAUACAUUGGGAGUGAAAGUAUUGGAGGACACUAUGCGCAAGACUGAGAGAGGCAAAUUGCAGAGGCUACUCUUCCAGAUGUAAACCCCCUCAUCGGCACCAAGAACAGAACGGCGAAUUUGCAGAAAAUACAAAAAAAAAAAGAUGAGCCUGAGAAGUUUUGGAACAAAGUAUUAUGGACAGAUGAAAUGAAGAUAAACUUUUACCACCAGUGAUCGAAAGAACUGCCACCAAACCCAUUGGAUGGAAGUUUAUCAUGCAAGGCAACAACUCAACAUAAGGCACACUUAACCAAGGAGCUUAUAUGGAAGAACAGGUUGUGUUUGAUGUGGCCCAGUCAGUCACCAGAUUUAAACUCAAGUGAACAUACUUUUCAUGUACUUAAAAGGAAACUGAAGUCUCAAACCCCAGCAAACACACAGGAACUGAAGGGGCAAAAAGCUUGGCUGAGCAUCUCAAAGGAUCACAUCAUGAACCUUGUGAUGUCCAUGAGUCAGACUAAAUGUAGUCAAAUGUUGGGUGUAUGCAGUGAAAUAUCGACCUUGCUGGUCAUUAGUUUGUCAACUUACUCUGUCCUAAUAUUUAUGCUGAAUUGAAAUAGCAUUGCAUUGAAUGGCAUUGUUGUAAUAUAAUUCAAUGUCUGUUUUUUGAAAUAAAAAAAACAUGAAAUAAAUGCAGAUUGUGAA